RNAcentral lists this unclassified non-coding RNA (224 nucleotides) under plant metagenome. RNAcentral describes it as "partial contains small subunit ribosomal RNA, internal transcribed spacer 1, and 5.8S ribosomal RNA". The record is from RNAcentral.
UCUCCGUUGGUGAACCAGCGGAGGGAUCAUUACAGGACUCGCAAGACUCCUUCACCCUGUGAACCUCACUACAAGCACGUUCCUUCGGCGGGUGUCCCGGCGGGGGUCUUCCCUCGCCGGGGCGCACAGCCCGCCGGCAGCCUACUAUACUCUGUCACUUUGCGUUGGCAUCUCGAGAAAAAACAAACAAGUUAAAACUUUCAACAACGGAUCUCUUGGUUCUG